Non-coding RNA from Cinara cedri, 289 nucleotides. The record is from the annotation of a GenBank genome assembly. Lineage: Eukaryota; Metazoa; Arthropoda; Insecta; Hemiptera; Aphididae.
GUUUGAAAAAUUAUAUUUCUCUAUUAUAGUAUUUAAGUAUUACAUUAUUAAUGUUAAGUUGAAAAUGAAAUAUGUAUACAGAAAAAAAAAAAAAAAAAAAAAAAAAAACAAAAAUAAACUAUAGUACGGUAUUCGCUAGUUUCCUAGAUUGUAUUAUGCGUUAAAUGUGUGUCAGCGCGUGUGUGAAAUUUCGUUUGAACAUUCUCGGCGGAAUUAUUAAUUGUAUACUCUGCAACACACAUACUCGUACAUUAUAUCAUAUUGUAUUAUUAUAUACCUAUAUAGCAUC